This 177-nucleotide unclassified non-coding RNA is filed under the name soil metagenome. Its description in RNAcentral is "partial internal transcribed spacer 1". The record is from RNAcentral.
CCGAGUUGACAAACUCCCUAAACCCUUUGUGAACCUUACCAUAUACGUUGCUUCGGCGGGGCCCGGGGUACCCCCCGGGCGCCCCUCGCGGCCCCACCAGGGCGCCCGCCGGAGGUCCCCAAACUCUUGAUAAUUUAGUGGCUUCUGCGUCUCUGAGUGACCAUGAACAAUAAGUAA